UACAGAGGGUGCAAGCGUUGUUCGGAAUCAUUGGGCGUAAAGGGCUCGUAGGUGGCCAACUAAGUCAGACGUGAAAUCCCUCAGCUUAACUGGGGAACUGCGUCUGAUACUGGAUGGCUUGAGUUUGGGAGAGGGAUGCGGAAUUCCAGGUGUAGCGGUGAAAUGCGUAGAUAUCAGGAGGAACACCGAUGGCGAAGGCAGGUCUCUGGGCAUUAACUGACGCUGAGGAGCGAAAGCAUGGGGAGCGAACAGG
Molecule: ribosomal RNA, 253 nt
Filed under: uncultured bacterium
Lineage: Bacteria
Description: partial 16S ribosomal RNA
Rfam family: Bacterial small subunit ribosomal RNA
Source: RNAcentral